UGUAUUCGACCUUCUUAACAAAUAAUCAUUUAUAAGUUAACAAAAGUUUUGAAUAUUAUUCUCUCAUGGAAAUUCUGUUAUUACAUAGCACUUUAACUCGGUUGUCUUCUCUACGCAGGAAAACCUAAGAAAAAAGUCUGCAUUUAAGAGAUCCCGAUAGUGUAAGACUUCCCGGAUGUAUUUCUUAAAGAACUACCAAGACUGCCAGUAGACAAUAAAGUUAAGUUCACCAUAGAUCUUCAGCCUAACACUCAGCCGAUUUCGGUUACCCCUUUCUGUAUGAGUCAUGUUG
Molecule: long non-coding RNA, 292 nt
Filed under: Carica papaya (papaya)
Lineage: Eukaryota; Viridiplantae; Streptophyta; Magnoliopsida; Brassicales; Caricaceae
Description: long non-coding RNA (CPAP_LNC001629)
Source: RNAcentral